RNAcentral lists this ribosomal RNA (531 nucleotides) under uncultured bacterium. RNAcentral's name for it is "bacterial SSU rRNA". It matches the Rfam family "Bacterial small subunit ribosomal RNA", at positions 65 to 606 of the family's 1533-position model. The record is from RNAcentral.
AGCGAGAAAAGGGGAGCAUCCCUGAGUUAGCGGGCACGGGUGAGUAACACGUGGGUAAUCUGCCUGGAGUGGGGAAUAACACCGGGAAACCGGUGCUAAUACCGCAUACGAUCGCAAGGUCUGCGGACUUUGUGAUGAAAGGAGCAAUUCGCUCCAGGAGGAGCCCGCGGCUGAUUAGCUAGUUGGUGAGGUAAUGGCUCACCAAGGCAACGAUCAGUAGCCGGUCUGAGAGGACGGUCGGCCGCGACUGGAACUGUGACACGGUCCAGACUCCUACGGGAGGCAGCAGUGGGGAAUCUUUGGCAAUGGGGGCAACCCUGACCAAGCAACGCCGCGUGGGUGAUGAAGUCUCUUGGGACGUAAAACCCUUUCGACGGGGAAGAAACCGCAAGGUUGACGGUACCCGUACAAGAAGCCCCGGCUAACUCCGUGCCAGCAGCCGAGGUACUACGGGGGGGGCAAGCGUUGUUCGGAAUUACUGGGCGUCAAGGGCGCGUAGGCGGUUCGUCAAGUCGGAUGUGAAAACUCUGG